ACUCAUGGUUGCUAUCACCCUGAAUACGGCCGAACUUGUCUAAUCUCGGAAGCUAAGCAGCGUUGGGCCUCGUUAGUCUUUAGAUGGGAGACCGCUUGGAAAUACUUGGAGUUGUAAGCU
Molecule: ribosomal RNA, 120 nt
Organism: Scleropages formosus (Asian bonytongue)
Lineage: Eukaryota; Metazoa; Chordata; Actinopteri; Osteoglossiformes; Osteoglossidae
Source: Rfam